UGGUAGCAUUUGCUCUUUAUUUGACAAAGUUAUGAAGGGGGAACCAUUCUGGGAAUCAACAAUCAUCACCACCACUGGACUUUAGUGGUGAUCUACCCACAAGAGAAAAAGUCUUUGUUCUUGAAUCCACUGGGGGAAUCAAAACAAGACAUCCAGAAAUGUUUGCAAAUCACAAGGGCAUUUAUGAGGAAGAAGGGGUGCAAUCUCUCACGUUGG
Long non-coding RNA from Xiphophorus hellerii (green swordtail), 216 nucleotides. RefSeq lists it as uncharacterized. The transcript has 3 exons. NCBI's taxonomy places the organism in Eukaryota, Metazoa, Chordata, Actinopteri, Cyprinodontiformes, Poeciliidae. The record is from RefSeq and is a predicted model, not a curated record.